Molecule: long non-coding RNA, 454 nt
Organism: Polistes dominula (European paper wasp)
Lineage: Eukaryota; Metazoa; Arthropoda; Insecta; Hymenoptera; Vespidae
Source: RefSeq, a predicted model, not a curated record
GUAUUCCUUUUUAUCCUUCCUUUCUUUCUCCCUUCUUUCCUUCCUAUCUAUUUUAUCAUGAUAUUAUUAAUCCGUUCACCAUUACGAAAAUACCUUCCACCUUAUAUAUAUAUAUAUAUAUAUAUAUCAUACGCAUGACUCUACACAUGCACACAUUAUCAUACAUACGUACACACAUAAAAACAUGCACACGCAUUCUAUUCUCGAUCACACGACACAAUGUGUUCGUCGAAUCGAACGAUACUUGCGAUCGUGGGAAGUUAUCGUUCGAUUCGAAGUAAACCGCUUAUUAAUUAUUAUAAUAACAAAAAAAAAAAAAAAAUAAAAAAUAUAGUAUAUGAAACAAAAGAAAUAUUAUAUAACGAACUAUAUCUGAUCUACCUAAUCUUACAAUUAAAGAGGCACCGUCGAGGCGGCGCGUGCUUCCGAGAAAAUGGCGAGAAAAGAAAAAAAA